RNAcentral lists this long non-coding RNA (1012 nucleotides) under Lathyrus oleraceus (garden pea). RNAcentral describes it as "Pisum sativum (pea) long non-coding RNA (PSAT_LNC001004)". Lineage: Eukaryota; Viridiplantae; Streptophyta; Magnoliopsida; Fabales; Fabaceae. The record is from RNAcentral.
UUGGUUGAUGAAGAUGAUGCACAAAAUAUUUAAGUAAGCAAAUAAUGAUAAAGCAACAAUGUUAUUACAUUAAUUAUCACGGAUGCCUAUGGAUGUUCUUGUGCUACGGUACAAACCAAAACAUUUCCAUCUAUACCUUGGGAUUGGAGAACCACGUUUAGUGAAAGAUGGUCAACAUAAACAUUAAAUACCAAACAACUUGAUACUGCAAAUCAAAUGUAUAAAUUUGUAAGUUGCAAAAAUGAGAUGCAAUAAACAAUGUAUUGCCAAUUUGGGGUAUUGUUUAUGAAAACUUGCAUCUGACAUAACAAAUAUACUGAGACCCAGAGGAUAAGGCGCGUCCAACUACAACUAUUUAACACACGAUACUGAUCAGCAUACUGCCAUGCGGACUGGGUAGGUCAUGUGCAAUUGGCGGAGGCAAACAGAUGCCCUAGCUCUGCAUUUGUUGGCCUGGAAAACCUUGCGGAGGUGGCAUUGAUGGAGGUCGAGCGCCAAGGGGAGCUGGAGGUGGAAGAGGCGGCAUUGCACCGGGUACAGGUCUUGGACCAUUUGCAGACAUAGGAGGUGGUGGAGGCAUUGAUCCUGACAUUGGAGGUGGAGGGGCUCGAGGAGGAUUUCCCAAAGGUGCGCCAGGAGGCAGCCCUUGGGGAGGAGGUGGUGGUGGUAAUGGAGCUUGUGAUGCUGGGGGCAUUGGCCUUGGAGGAACACCGGGUGCUGUGGUGCCAUUGGGAGUAGAUGCAGGUGGCUGUGGUUUGGUUACCUCUGGUGGUUUGAUUUUAAAAUACAACUGCAGCUGCAGACAUAGCAACAGUUCUGGAGUCAGUAGCUGCUAGUGGAAAUAAAAUAUCAACAAUGAAUGCAUGCAUGUCACAACCAAAAGGAACAAAGAGAAUGCAUGAAAGGAUGGAAAUACUUAUCGUAGUUCCACAAUUAACUGCUUGCUUGAAUCAUUAGUUUGCACAAGGGAAAACAAUUAAAAUGCAAAGAUUUUGAUAUAACCGGCCAAACU